CACGUAGGGCGCAAGCGUUGUCCGGAAUUAUUGGGCGUAAAGAGCUCGUAGGUGGUUUGUUACGUCCGCUGUGAAAUCCUAGGGCUUAACCCUGGGCUUGCAGUGGAUACGGGCAGACUAGAGGUAGGUAGGGGAGAAUGGAAUUCCUGGUGUAGCGGUGAAAUGCGCAGAUAUCGAGAGGAACACCGGUGGCGAAAGGGCGGGUCCU
Molecule: ribosomal RNA, 208 nt
Filed under: uncultured bacterium
Lineage: Bacteria
Description: partial 16S ribosomal RNA
Rfam family: Bacterial small subunit ribosomal RNA
Source: RNAcentral